GAGAAGUUAAGAAUAGGAGAAACCGGAAAAUAAAAAAGGGCGAGUCAUUGUGAAUGUCAGGAGCUCCUCAGCCGCGGGUGUGAUAGUGUUCCAGCCCUCCCCAGGCUGCUCCAUGUGACAGCAAGGGAGAGGAUUUCAUUAGGAUCUGGUAGCAGGCUAUUUUCAGAGCUGACAUCCUACCCACCACUAAAUAUAGACUGUCCCCUCCUCUCAAACUAAGGUUUCUUUUCUUUAAACUUUAAUAAACCUCUCGGUUGUGUAUCACAGACUUUCCUUCCUUCCUUCUUUCCUUUUUAUUUUAUUGUUCUCUCUUUUCUCCCUCCUUUCUUUCUGUCUUCCAUUUCUCUCUUUAUUCCCUCUUUUCUUUCCCUCUAUCAUUCCAAUCUUUCACUUCUAUCUUUAUUUCUUUCUGUUUCUCCCCUCCCCUUCCUCAGUUCAGCUUUCAUGGCCACCUUUCCAGAGUAUCAAAAGUCCCAGAAAGGGCAAUAGCAGCCCAAAGUAUCUGGCUCAUCUGGAUGAAGGUCAGAGGCUGUUUGGCCGCCUGACAGCAGGGGGACACCGGGUGUGAGCCCUCUGCUCUGCUUACCUGAUGACAGGUCAAAAUGCUGCACAACUGACGUGGUCUGGUUGUCUGCCAAGUACAGAAGAGGGUAUCCGGACCUUCCAGCUCAGGGAUUCAGCACCUUCUGGUGGCAGGCAGCCAAGCAAGCGGCAAAGGCAGCUGCCAAUCUCACCUCCUGCCCAGAAGAAAAGUGUUGGAUCCUCCUGCUUGCACAGACGCCCACGCCCCACUGCCUGAGGUUAGAGCUUCCCACGCUUCCUGCCGUCUGGAGACACUGGUCCAGGGAGCUGAAGAUGUUGCACAGCCUUUUACCACUCAGAGUCUGCCUCCACUGCCAAGGCAGAGCUAAAUUGGAAAAACACACACAAUGACCUCUUGUGGAAUGUAGUAUUAAUAUUUGAUAGGCCUAAUGUAAUCAUAUACAAUCAAUAAAGGCAGGAAUAUCUCUCCCCCUUUGUGCUCU
RNAcentral lists this long non-coding RNA (1025 nucleotides) under Crocodylus porosus (Australian saltwater crocodile). Its description in RNAcentral is "lncRNA (ENSCPRG00005007092.1)". Lineage: Eukaryota; Metazoa; Chordata; Crocodylia; Crocodylidae. The record is from RNAcentral.